This 253-nucleotide ribosomal RNA is filed under the name uncultured bacterium. RNAcentral describes it as "partial 16S ribosomal RNA". It matches the Rfam family "Bacterial small subunit ribosomal RNA", at positions 524 to 776 of the family's 1533-position model. The record is from RNAcentral.
UACGUAGGGUGCGAGCGUUAAUCGGAAUUACUGGGCGUAAAGCGUGCGCAGGCGGUUCGGUAAGAAAGAUGUGAAAUCCCAGAGCUUAACUUUGGAACUGCAUUUUUAACUGCCGAGCUAGAGUAUGUCAGAGGGGGGUAGAAUUCCACGUGUAGCAGUGAAAUGCGUAGAGAUGUGGAGGAAUACCGAUGGCGAAGGCAGCCCCCUGGGAUAAUACUGACGCUCAUGCACGAAAGCGUGGGGAGCAAACAGG